Molecule: ribosomal RNA, 1046 nt
Filed under: uncultured bacterium
Lineage: Bacteria
Description: bacterial SSU rRNA
Rfam family: Bacterial small subunit ribosomal RNA
Source: RNAcentral
CCUACGGGAGGCAGCAGUCGGGAAUUUUGGGCAAUGGGCGAAAGCCUGACCCAGCAACGCCGCGUGAAGGAUGAAAUCCCUCGGGAUGUAAACUUCGCAAGAACGGGAAGAAUAAGUAGGGGACAAUACCCCCUAUGAUGACGGUACCGUUUGUAAGCUCCGGCUAACUCCGUGCCAGCAGCCGCGGUAAUACGGGGGGAGCAAGCGUUGUUCGGAUUUACUGGGCGUAAAGGGCGCGUAGGCGGCCAGCACAAGUCAGUUGUGAAAUCUCCGAGCUUAACUCGGAAAGGUCAACUGAUACUGUGCGGCUAGAGUGCGGAAGGGGCAACUGGAAUUCUUGGUGUAGCGGUGAAAUGCGUAGAUAUCAAGAGGAACACCUGCGGCGAAGGCGGGUUGCUGGGCCGACACUUACGCUGAGGCGCGAAAGCCAGGGGAGCGAACGGGAUUAGAUACCCUGGUAGUCCUAGCCGUAAACGAUGGACACUAGGUGUGGGGGGAGUCGAAUCCCUCUGUGCCGCAGUUAACGCGUUAAGUGUCCCGCCUGGGGAGUACGGCCGCAAGGCUAAAACUCAAAAGAAUUGACGGGGGCCCGCACAAGCAGCGGAGCAUGUUCUUUAAUUCGAUGCAACGCGAAGAACCUUACCUGGACUUGACAUGGUGCUGCAAGCGCACGGAAACGUGUGACCUUCGAGGGUGCACCACAGAUGCUGCAUGGCUGUCGUCAGCUCGUGUCGUGAGAUGUUGGGUUAAGUCCCGCAACGAGCGCAACCCCUGUGGCGUGUUGCCAUCAUUAAGUUGGGGACUCACGCCAGACUGCCGGUGACAAACCGGAGAAAGGUGGGGAUGAGGUCAAGUCAUCAUGGCUCUUACGUCCAGGGCUACAAACGUGCUACAAUGGCUGAUACAAGCGUUUGCUAGACCACAAGGUGGAGCGAAAUCUCAUCACAGUCAGUCUAGCUUCGGAUCGCGUCUGCAACGUCGGACUGCAGAAGGUGGAAUUGCCUAUAAAUCCCGGGACAGCUGCCCGCGAGACAGUACCUUCCCGG